RNAcentral lists this ribosomal RNA (462 nucleotides) under uncultured bacterium. RNAcentral's name for it is "bacterial SSU rRNA". It matches the Rfam family "Bacterial small subunit ribosomal RNA", at positions 329 to 788 of the family's 1533-position model. The record is from RNAcentral.
UCCCAGACUCCUACGGGAGGCAGCAGUGAGGAAUAUUGGUCAAUGGGCUUACGCCUGAACCAGCCAAGUCGCGUGAGGGAAGACUGCCCUAUGGGUUGUAAACCUCUUUUGUCAGGGAGCAAAGGGCGCCACGUGUGGCGCUUUGCGAGUACCUGAAGAAAAAGCAUCGGCUAACUCCAUGCCAGCAGCCGCGGUAAUACGGAGGAUGCGAGCGUUAUCCGGAUUUAUUGGGUUUAAAGGGUGCGCAGGCGGAAUGUCAAGUCAGCGGUAAAAUUUCGGGGCUCAACCCCGUCGUGCCGUUGAAACUGGCGUUCUUGAGUGAGCGAGAAGUAUGCGGAAUGCGUGGUGUAGCGGUGAAAUGCAUAGAUAUCACGCAGAACUCCGAUUGCGAAGGCAGCAUACCGGCGCUCAACUGACGCUCAUGCUCGAAAGCGUGGGUAUCGCACAGGAUUAGAUACCCCU